RNAcentral lists this ribosomal RNA (440 nucleotides) under uncultured bacterium. RNAcentral's name for it is "partial 16S ribosomal RNA". It matches the Rfam family "Bacterial small subunit ribosomal RNA", at positions 338 to 795 of the family's 1533-position model. The record is from RNAcentral.
CCUACGGGAGGCUGCAGUGGGGAAUAUUGCACAAUGGGGGAAACCCUGAUGCAGCGACGCCGCGUGAGUGAAGAAGUAUUUCGGUAUGUAAAGCUCUGUCAGCAGGGAAGAAAAUGACGGUACCUGACCAAGAAUCCCCGGCUAACUACGUGCCAGCAGCCGCGGUUAUACGUAGGGGGCAAGCGUUAUCCGGAUUUACUGGGUGUAAAGGGGGCGUAGACGGAAGGGCAAGUCUGGAGUGAAAGGCGGGGGCUCAACCCCCGGACUGCUCUGGAAACUGCCCGGCUGGAGUGUAGGCGAGGUAAGUGGAAUGCAUGGUGUAGCGGUGAAAUGCGUAGAUAUUAGGAGGAACACCAGUGGCGAAGGCGGCUUACUGGACUGUAACUGACGUUGAGGCUCGAAAGCGUGGGGAGCAAACAGGAUUAGAUACCCCUGUAGUC